This is a long non-coding RNA of Aedes aegypti (yellow fever mosquito), 158 nucleotides long. RefSeq lists it as uncharacterized. The transcript is spliced from 3 exons. NCBI's taxonomy places the organism in Eukaryota, Metazoa, Arthropoda, Insecta, Diptera, Culicidae. The record is from RefSeq and is a predicted model, not a curated record.
ACAAUAGCGCUCUUAUUUGCCAAAAUACGUUUAAGCAUAUCGUCAGUUGAGUUCCACCUUGUAGGCACGUCUUGCUUCAACUUAAGGUGUUUCAUAUUAAGAUUCUCCAUCAUUUCUUGAAGCUUAGCCAAAGCAUGGCUACUUUUUUUGAAAUAUUG